UACGUAGGGGGCGAGCGUUGUUCGGAUUUACUGGGCGUAAAGGGUGCGUAGGCGGUCGGGUAAGUCUGGUGUGAAAUCUUCGAGCUUAACUCGGAAACUGCAUUGGAUACUAUUCGGCUAGAGAGUUGGAGGGGGGAUUGGAAUACUUGGUGUAGCAGUGAAAUGCGUAGAUAUCAAGUGGAACACCAGUGGCGAAGGCGAAUCCCUGGACAACUUCUGACGCUGAGGCACGAAAGCGAGGGGAGCAAACAGG
RNAcentral lists this ribosomal RNA (253 nucleotides) under uncultured bacterium. Its description in RNAcentral is "partial 16S ribosomal RNA". It matches the Rfam family "Bacterial small subunit ribosomal RNA", at positions 524 to 776 of the family's 1533-position model. The record is from RNAcentral.